AGUGGAUUGGUGUAAUGGUAACAUUUUUUGCUCAUGACUGAAAGUUAAAGGUUCAAGUCCUUUGUCCGCGC
Non-coding RNA from Pneumocystis murina, 71 nucleotides. NCBI's taxonomy places the organism in Eukaryota, Fungi, Ascomycota, Pneumocystomycetes, Pneumocystales, Pneumocystaceae. The record is from Rfam.